This 425-nucleotide ribosomal RNA is filed under the name uncultured bacterium. RNAcentral's name for it is "partial 16S ribosomal RNA". It matches the Rfam family "Bacterial small subunit ribosomal RNA", at positions 354 to 796 of the family's 1533-position model. The record is from RNAcentral.
GUGGGGAAUAUUGGGCAAUGGGCGAAAGCCUGACCCAGCAACGCCGCGUGAAGGAAGAAGGUUUUCGGAUCGUAAACUUCUAUCCUUGGUGAAGAUAAUGACGGUAGCCAAGAAGGAAGCCCCGGCUAACUACGUGCCAGCAGCCGCGGUAAUACGUAGGGGGCAAGCGUUGUCCGGAAUGAUUGGGCGUAAAGGGCGCGUAGGCGGCCCGGUAAGUCUGAAGUGAAAGUCCUGCUUUUAAGGUGGGAAUUGCUUUGGAUACUGUCGGGCUUGAGUGCAGGAGAGGUAAGCGGAAUUCCCGGUGUAGCGGUGAAAUGCGUAGAGAUCGGGAGGAACACCAGUGGCGAAGGCGGUUUACUGGACUGUAACUGACGCUGAGGCGCGAAAGUGUGGGGAGCAAACAGGAUUAGAAACCCCUGUAGUCC